GGCUUCGUAGUCGAGUGGCAAGGACACUUGGCUCUCACCCUGGAGUCCCGAGUUCGAUCCCUGGUGGAGGAGCUA
This 75-nucleotide transfer RNA is filed under the name Rhamnusium bicolor. RNAcentral's name for it is "tRNA-OTHER". The record is from RNAcentral. Lineage: Eukaryota; Metazoa; Arthropoda; Insecta; Coleoptera; Cerambycidae.